UAGAGAGAGACAUGCGCGCAUAUCAAUAAGCGGAGGAAAAGAAACUAACAAGGAUUCCCUUAGUAACGGCGAGUGAAGCGGGAAGAGCUCAAAUUUGAAAUCUUCAAGGUUUUACCUUGACGAAUUGUAGUUUAAAGAAGUGUUUUCUGCUGAAGUUUUGGUAAAAGUUCUUUGGAAUAGGACAUCAUAGAGGGUGAGAAUCCCGUAUUUGACCAUUAUUUUCAGCUUUGUGGAUAGCACUUUCAAAGAGUCGGAUUGUUUGGGAAUGCAGUCCAAAAUGGGUGGUAAAUUUCAUCUAAAGCUAAAUAUUGGCGAGAGACCGAUAGCGAACAAGUACCGUGAGGGAAAGAUGAAAAGAACUUUGAGAAGAGAGUUAAACAGUACGUGAAAUUGUCAAAAGGGAAGCGUUUGACACCAGUGUUGUUUUCUCGAAAAUCAAUUAAAAAUGGCUCGAUUUUGUAUUGCUGAGACCUUAAAAGCUCACUGUACAUUUUUCGUGUCUUUUUUAAUGCACUUUUCGUUUAACAAGUCAACAUCAGUUUCUUUUGUUGUAAAAGGGUCAUUGGAAGGUGGCUUUCUUUUCGGAGAAAGUGUUUAUAGCCUUUGGCCUCUGCAAUCGAAGAGACUGAGGUCUGCAGCGUAGACUCUUCGGGGUUAGAUACAUUUGUGCUAAGUUAUAGCUUUUUAUAGACAACUUGUUGACUAUAAUUAGUCUUGUAGCUUACUCGCUUAUGCUAUUUUACCUACGCUUAGGAUGUUGAAGAUGUAGCACAUCAU
Molecule: ribosomal RNA, 777 nt
Filed under: uncultured Neocallimastigales
Lineage: Eukaryota; Fungi; Neocallimastigomycota; Neocallimastigomycetes; Neocallimastigales
Description: partial large subunit ribosomal RNA
Rfam family: Eukaryotic large subunit ribosomal RNA
Source: RNAcentral